UACGUAGGGCGCGAGCGUUAUCCGGAAUUAUUGGGCGUAAAGAGCUCGUAGGCGGUUUGUCGCGUCUGCCGUGAAAGUCCGGGGCUCAACCCCGGAUCUGCCGUGCCGACUGUCAAACUCGAGGACUGUAGAGGCAGACGGAAUUCCGGGUGUAGCGGUGGAAUGCGCAGAUAUCAGGAGGAACACCGGUGGCGAAGGCGGAUCUCUGGGCCAUUACUGACGCUGAGGAGCGAAAGCGUGGGGAGCGAACAGG
Molecule: ribosomal RNA, 253 nt
Filed under: uncultured bacterium
Lineage: Bacteria
Description: partial 16S ribosomal RNA
Rfam family: Bacterial small subunit ribosomal RNA
Source: RNAcentral